AUUGAACGCUGGCGGCAGGCCUAACACAUGCAAGUCGAACGGUAGCAGGAAGAAGCUUGCUUCUUUGCUGACGAGUGGCGGACGGGUGAAUAAUGUCUGGGAAACUGCCUGAUGGAGGGGGAUAACUACUGGAAACGGUAGCUAAUACCGCAUAACGUCGCAAGACCAAAGAGGGGGACCUUCGGGCCUCUUGCCAUCGGAUGUGCCCAGAUGGGAUUAGCUAGUAGGUGGGGUAACGGCUCACCUAGGCGACGAUCCCUAGCUGGUCUGAGAGGAUGACCAGCCACACUGGAACUGAGACACGGUCCAGACUCCUACGGGAGGCAGCAGUGGGGAAUAUUGCACAAUGGGCGCAAGCCUGAUGCAGCCAUGCCGCGUGUAUGAAGAAGGCCUUCGGGUUGUAAAGUACUUUCAGCGGGGAGGAAGGGAGUAAAGUUAAUACCUUUGCUCAUUGACGUUACCCGCAGAAGAAGCACCGGCUAACUCCGUG
This 490-nucleotide ribosomal RNA is filed under the name uncultured bacterium. RNAcentral describes it as "partial 16S ribosomal RNA". It matches the Rfam family "Bacterial small subunit ribosomal RNA", at positions 30 to 507 of the family's 1533-position model. The record is from RNAcentral.